CGCAAGCCUGACGGAGCAACGCCGCGUGUGGGAAGAAGGCUCUUGGGCUGUCAACCACUUUUCUCAGGGAAGAAGCACUGACGGUACCUGAGGAAUCAGCCUCGGCUAACUCCGUGCCAGCAGCCGCGGUAAUACGGAGGAGGCAAGCGUUAUCCGGAAUUAUUGGGCGUAAAGCGUCCGCAGGGGGCACAUCAAGUCUGCUGUUAAAGGCUGGAGCUUAACUCCGGUAGAGCAGUGGAAACUGGUGUGCUAGAGGGCGACAGGGGUAGAGGGAAUUCCCAGUGUAGCGGUGAAAUGCGUAGAUAUUGGGAAGAACACCAGUGGCGAAGGCGCUCUACUGGGCUGCAACUGACGCUGAGGGACGAAAGCUAGGGGAGCG
This 379-nucleotide ribosomal RNA is filed under the name uncultured cyanobacterium. RNAcentral describes it as "bacterial SSU rRNA". It matches the Rfam family "Bacterial small subunit ribosomal RNA", at positions 376 to 770 of the family's 1533-position model. Lineage: Bacteria; Bacillati; Cyanobacteriota. The record is from RNAcentral.